AGUGAACGCUGGCGGUAGGCCUAACACAUGCAAGUCGAACGGCAGCACAGUAAGAGCUUGCUCUUACGGGUGGCGAGUGGCGGACGGGUGAGGAAUACAUCGGAAUCUACUUUUUCGUGGGGGAUAACGUAGGGAAACUUACGCUAAUACCGCAUACGACCUACGGGUGAAAGCAGGGGAUCUUCGGACCUUGCGCGAUUGAAUGAGCCGAUGUCGGAUUAGCUAGUUGGCGGGGUAAAGGCCCACCAAGGCGACGAUCCGUAGCUGGUCUGAGAGGGCGAUCAGCCACACUGGAACUGAGACACGGUCCAGACUCCUACGGGAGGCAGCAGUGGGGAAUAUUGGACAAUGGGCGCAAGCCUGAUCCAGCCAUACCGCGUGGGUGAAGAAGGCCUUCGGGUUGUAAAGCCCUUUUGUUGGGAAAGAAAAGCAGCAGGUUAAUACCCCGCUGUUCUGACGGUACCCAAAGAAUAAGCACCGGCUAACUUCGUG
RNAcentral lists this ribosomal RNA (492 nucleotides) under uncultured bacterium. Its description in RNAcentral is "partial 16S ribosomal RNA". It matches the Rfam family "Bacterial small subunit ribosomal RNA", at positions 29 to 507 of the family's 1533-position model. The record is from RNAcentral.